AGCACGUCCACUCGCCCCGGAAGGAAACCGAAGUCCACCCAGCAGCCACCCGUGGUCCCCGGCCAGCCUCUGAUUUUCAGCCUGCAGACUCGCCUGCCUCUGGCAGUUAAUGUAGAGGGAGGAGCUGUGCGUCCGGUCACAGACACCGAGCCAGAGCCCGGCGUGCACCUGCCCCUCUUCCCGCCAUCUAAACUCAGAACUGUGCCAGGCGCCCCGAAAUCCUCCUCACACACUGACUUUGAUACCCGGGGGGUCUGUACUUCAAAUAUUUGGUGCCAAUGUCUGCAGAGAAAGUGAAGCCGUUGAUUGAUCCAGCACCACCUAUAAAUAAA
Long non-coding RNA from Cavia porcellus (domestic guinea pig), 332 nucleotides. RefSeq lists it as uncharacterized. Lineage: Eukaryota; Metazoa; Chordata; Mammalia; Rodentia; Caviidae. The transcript has 2 exons. The record is from RefSeq and is a predicted model, not a curated record.